AUUGAACGCUGGCGGCAGGCCUAACACAUGCAAGUCGAGCGGAUGAAGGGAGCUUGCUCCUGGAUUCAGCGGCGGACGGGUGAGUAAUGCCUAGGAAUCUGCCUGGUAGUGGGGGAUAACGUCCGGAAACGGGCGCUAAUACCGCAUACGUCCUGAGGGAGAAAGUGGGGGAUCUUCGGACCUCACGCUAUCAGAUGAGCCUAGGUCGGAUUAGCUAGUUGGUGGGGUAAAGGCCUACCAAGGCGACGAUCCGUAACUGGUCUGAGAGGAUGAUCAGUCACACUGGAACUGAGACACGGUCCAGACUCCUACGGGAGGCAGCAGUGGGGAAUAUUGGACAAUGGGCGAAAGCCUGAUCCAGCCAUGCCGCGUGUGUGAAGAAGGUCUUCGGAUUGUAAAGCACUUUAAGUUGGGAGGAAGGGCAGUAAGUUAAUACCUUGCUGUUUUGACGUUACCAACAGAAUAAGCACUGGCUAACUUCGUG
This 484-nucleotide ribosomal RNA is filed under the name uncultured bacterium. RNAcentral describes it as "partial 16S ribosomal RNA". It matches the Rfam family "Bacterial small subunit ribosomal RNA", at positions 30 to 507 of the family's 1533-position model. The record is from RNAcentral.